RNAcentral lists this ribosomal RNA (780 nucleotides) under uncultured Neocallimastigales. RNAcentral's name for it is "partial large subunit ribosomal RNA". It matches the Rfam family "Eukaryotic large subunit ribosomal RNA", at positions 22 to 645 of the family's 3401-position model. The record is from RNAcentral. Lineage: Eukaryota; Fungi; Neocallimastigomycota; Neocallimastigomycetes; Neocallimastigales.
GUACACGCUGUGACUAGCAUAUCAAUAAGCGGAGGAAAAGAAACUAACAAGGAUUCCCUCAGUAACGGCGAGUGAAGCGGGAAGAGCUCAAAUUUGAAAUCUUGAAAGGUUCACCUUUCACGAAUUGUAGUUUAAAGAAGUGUUUUCUGUUGACGAUCUGUAAUAUAAGUUCUUUGGAAUAGGACAUCACAGAGGGUGAGAAUCCCGUCUAUGACUUGCUACUUUGUAACUUUGUGAUACACUUUCAAAGAGUCGGGAUUGUUUGGGAAUGCAGUCCAAAACUGGGAGGUAAAUUUCAUUCUAAGCUAAAUAUUGGCGAGAGACCGAUAGCGAACAAGUACCGUGAGGGAAAGAUGAAAAGAACUUUGAAAAGAGAGUUAAAUAGUACGUGAAAUUGUCAAAAGGGAAGCGUUUGACACCAGUGUUGUUUUCUGAAAAUCAACCUCUUAAGAACUGUUAUGCUAAUGUUGUUUAGACCUAUCAGCUAUCUUGCAUGUUCUAUUGUUUGCAGUGGUGCACUUUUCAGUUUACAGGUCAACAUCAGUUUUUUUUACCGUAAAAAAGUUAAAGAAAGGUAGCUCAUGGCUCCGGUCGUGAGUGUUAUAGUCUUUUUCCUAUGCGGUAGGAGAGACUGAGGUCUGCAGUGUAGGCUAUUUGGCUAGAUACUCAGGUGCUAUGUGAUACCAUUUCAUAAACAACUUGUUGAUUAUGUUUUGUCUAUUGCAUACUCGCUUGUACUAUCAUACCUACGCUUAGGAUGUUGACGCAUGAGAUAUACGC